GUCCACGCCCUAAACUAUGGAUACUAAGCAGGGGACCACCAAAUGGAUCCUUGCCGUAGCAAAAGCGUUAAGUAUCCCGCCUGGGGAGUAUGGUCGCAAGGCUGAAACUCAAAGGAAUUGACGGGGGCUCACACAAGCGGUGGAGCAUGUUGCUUAAUUCGAUGCAACGCGAAGAACCUUACCCGGGCUCGAAGCGCACGGAUUAGCUCUGUGAAAGCAGAGUAACUCCUUAACCGGUGGAACGUGCGAAGGUGUUGCAUGGCUGUCGU
RNAcentral lists this ribosomal RNA (269 nucleotides) under uncultured bacterium. RNAcentral describes it as "partial 16S ribosomal RNA". It matches the Rfam family "Bacterial small subunit ribosomal RNA", at positions 793 to 1055 of the family's 1533-position model. The record is from RNAcentral.